Molecule: small RNA, 549 nt
Filed under: Pan troglodytes (chimpanzee)
Lineage: Eukaryota; Metazoa; Chordata; Mammalia; Primates; Hominidae
Description: processed transcript
Source: RNAcentral
AAAUAUCCAAGGAAGCAGCAGUGGCGGAGCAAAGGCAGCCACUUCUAGCCUGGCAACUAAAAGCUGAAAACUCACAUGACUGAAUUUCAGGGAACAGUUUUCCCAUAGUUGAGAGUGGGGUGCCUAACUGAAUCAUCAAUGUCAGCUAUGAACAGUAUCCUCUGGCACAUGCAGGCCUGAUGUUUCAGAAUCUCCUGAAUUACGUCAGAAGUCACCAUUGUUUCAGUUUGCCGAGAUAUCUUCAAGUACGUCCCACCCUGAUGCUUCUACAAAGCAGUGUCAAACAUCCGCCUUGUUUCAGUUUGCAGAGAUUUCUUCAAACACUUCGCAGUUGGGUGGUGCUGAGCCUGUAAAACGCUGUGGAAAGUCUGCACUCUUUCAACUGGCAGAGAUGUGCCUGGCAUCAGAAGGGAUGAAAAUGGAAGAAUCAAAGCUAAUAAAAGCAAAAGAAUCCGAUGGUGGAAGAAUUAAAGAAUUAGAGAAGGGAAAGGAAGAAAAAGAAAUUAAAAUGGAGAAAACAGAUGAAACUAGGUUACAGAAGGAAGCAGA